Molecule: ribosomal RNA, 825 nt
Filed under: uncultured bacterium
Lineage: Bacteria
Description: bacterial SSU rRNA
Rfam family: Bacterial small subunit ribosomal RNA
Source: RNAcentral
UUUGAUCCUGGCUCAGAUUGGAACGUGGCCGGCAGCCCUCAUACAUGCCAGUCGAACGAGAAAGGCCCUUUCGGGGGCCGAGUAGAGUGGGGGACGGGUGAGUACCGCGUAGGAAUCCACCCGGCAGUGGGGGAUAACCCGGGGAAACUCGGGCUAAUACCGCAUGUCGAGCGUCGGCGUAGAGCCGGCGCUGAAAGCGGGGGAUCUCGCGCACGGCUUCGGCCGAAGGCGGAGACCUCGUGCUGUCGGAGGAGCCUGCGUUGGAUUAGCUUGUUGGUGGGGUAAUGGCCUACCAAGGCGACGAUCCAUAGCUGGUCUGAGAGGACGAUCAGCCACACUGGGACUGAGACACGGCCCAGACGUCUACGGACGGCAGCAGUAGGGAAUCUUGCACAAUGGGCGAAAGCCUGAUGCAGCCAUGCCGCGUGUGUGAAGAAGGCCUUAGGGUUGUAAAGCACUUUCAGUGGUGAAGAAAAUGUCGGCGCUAAUACCGCCGGCCCCUGACGUUAGCCACAGAAGAAGCACCGGCCAACUCCGUGCCAGCAGCCGCGGUAAUACGGAGGGUGCGAACGUUAAUCGGAAUUACUGGGCGUAAAGCGCGCGUAGGCGGCUCGUUAAGUGAGGUGUGAAAGCCCCGGGCUCAACCUGGGAACUGCACUUCAAACUUGCGAGCUAGAGUUCAGUAGAGGGAGGUGGAAUUUACUGUGUAGCGGUGGAAUGCGUAGAUAUAGUAAGGAACACCAGUGGCGAAGGCGGCCUCCUGGACUGAAACUGACGCUCAAGUGCGAAAGCGUGGGGAGCAAACAGGAUUAGAUACCCUGGUAG